CCAACUUUCUCCAACGGCGGUUUCAGGGCAUAACCCGUGUGCGCACUCACUCCGAAGGAAACCUCGAGGUAAAAGCUGCCAUCAGGAGAAACUCUUCCUCGCCCCUCAACUGACUCUCAACUUCCUCGUUUGGUCGACAGGCUCCUCCGUUCAGGUAGAAGCUCCUGACACACAAACACACAGCCUGUCCACGUGACCUAACGACGGCAGCCUUGUGAUCACGUGGCCUCGGGCCCAACUUGUAAGGGUCGCGGGGGGUGGCGGGGAGCUGGAGCCUAUCCCAGCGGUCAUCAGGCAGAAGGCAGG
Molecule: long non-coding RNA, 306 nt
Organism: Pygocentrus nattereri (red-bellied piranha)
Lineage: Eukaryota; Metazoa; Chordata; Actinopteri; Characiformes; Serrasalmidae
Exons: 3
Source: RefSeq, a predicted model, not a curated record